Molecule: ribosomal RNA, 317 nt
Filed under: uncultured eukaryote
Lineage: Eukaryota
Description: partial 18S ribosomal RNA
Rfam family: Eukaryotic small subunit ribosomal RNA
Source: RNAcentral
CCCUUAGAUGUUCUGGGCCGCACGCGCGCUACACUGAUCAGUGCAACAAGCAUCCGUCCUUGGCCGACAGGCCCGGGCAAUCUUUGAACGCUGAUCGUGAUGGGGAUAGACUUUUGCAAUUUUUGGUCUUCAACGAGGAAUUCCUAGUAAACGCAAGUCAUCAACUUGCAUUGAUUACGUCCCUGCCCUUUGUACACACCGCCCGUCGCACCUUCCGAUUGAAUGGUCCGGUGAAGCCUCCGGAUUGGCGUGCACCCUCGGGUGCUGCCGAGAAGUUGGCUAAACCUUACCAUUUAGAGGAAGGUGAAGUCGUAACA